Lathyrus oleraceus (garden pea) is the source of this 2588-nucleotide long non-coding RNA. RefSeq lists it as uncharacterized. NCBI's taxonomy places the organism in Eukaryota, Viridiplantae, Streptophyta, Magnoliopsida, Fabales, Fabaceae. The record is from RefSeq and is a predicted model, not a curated record. The transcript is spliced from 3 exons.
UACGAAUAACAGAACUCAUGUUGAAAACAGUGACUACGAAUAACAAAACUCAUGUUGAAAACAGUAACGAUCCAAAGCUCAGUUUUCUUUCCAUUUUUGAAAAUCAAAAUCUUAACAGCAAGUUAACAUCACAAACAAACAGGCAACGGUGUUGCUAAAUCAAACAUGGAAUUCAAAGCAUAAUCGAAAUAUGGAAAUAAAGCUCGGAAAGGAAGCUAACCGGUUGCGGCGAGCUCGACCGACGAAUAAUCCUCUCUUCCCUAUAGGUGAACAGCGGCGGCUAUCCAAAACUUAGGGUUUUUUAUGAAUAGUGAUUGCUUUUUAUAUAUGACUCCUCCUCUCUGCUGUGCUGCUGUGUUUCCUCAGAGUAGUGGAGGUCUGCUGUGCAGUGGAGAGGUUUUGAAUUUUGUCCAUAUCCAACUUGUGGUCCCCUUCUCAAUUCUCUUCAUUUUGAAAACUCUACUCUUGACACGGUUUUGGUCUUGGCAUGUCUUCAAAUUUUGCAACCUUGAAUGUGCUACUUAUGUCAUCCGGCGUGAAGUGAAAUUCAUUGCCAUCUCUCAUUGAGUCCACUUCAAUUGGAAUUGCUGUCAUAGGAUGAUCUCUAGAGUGUGGUGGAGGAAGUCGGUCUGUAUCUAGUACUUCAAAGCAAGCCUCGCACAAAUCAAAAUCAGGAUAAAUAAUGCAAUGCCACCUUCGCCUGUGUCAGCUGAGCCAGGAACUGGAACUACACCCUCAACACCAUCAUCUGCAGCUAACAAUGUCUGUUUUGGAAAAGGGACAUGAAGCAAUCUCGAAGAUAUGGCCAAACUGCUAGCAGUCUGAACAGCUUCACCGGACGAAAAAAAGAAGCUUCUUGAGUAAUUCAACAGUAGGUGCUACACUGUGAACUCCUGAAUCUUUUCCAUGCAGAGCCAAGCAUUCAGCAUUUUAGUACUCAAAACCCUUAAUUCUCUGUAUAUCUCAGCAUAUUUUGGAUGAGUUUGGUUCCCAGUAUAAAAGACUUCAACUUUACUUCCAGCUACAACAGAGCUCCAACCAGGUGUUUUCCUCAAUCCUCGAUCUCUGGCCAAGGAUCUUACUUUAACUACUCCUUCCCAUUUUCCGGUAUUUGCAUAGAUGUUCAAUAACAAAACAUAAUAGCCAACGUUCUCCGAAUCAACUUCCAAUAAGCGUUCUGAAGCUAAUGUACCUAAUUUUGCAUUUCCAUGUAUUCUUCAAGCAGAGAGAAGAGCACCCCAGAUGGAUGCAUCUGGUUGUACAUGUAUACUUCUCACUAAAUCAUAAGCUUUUUUUUCAAAUAUCCAGCUCUGCCAAGCAAAUCAACCAUACAGCCAUAAUGUUUCAAACUAGGCUCGAUCCCAUACUCUUUCUGCAUAAUAUCAAAACAUUCUUGGCCCUCAUCAACUGAACCCGAAUGACUACAAGCCGACAACAAAGAUACAAAGGUAAUAUGAUCUGCCUCCACACCUUCAGCUAGCAUGUCUUUGAAAAGUUGCAGCAUUCCAAGGAACUGAAGUAGAGAGAGUUGCAGCUAGAAUAUCUUCUCCAUGGUCGUGAACCCCUAGAGAAGAUAUUACAGCAUUCCAAGGAACUGAAGUUUCCCGUGGAAUUUCAUAAAAUAAAGACAUUGCAUCUUCCAACUUCCCACAUUUUCCAUACAUGUCAAUCAGGCAGGUAGCCACAAAGACAUCCAAGUAGAGAGAGUUUUUUAUUAGCCUCCCAUGAAUUUUCGUUCCUUGUUGCAAAGCUCCAACAUGAGAAUAUGCUGGUAUAAUGCUCACCCAAGUCCCUUGGUGCAACAAUUUCCAUAUGCGGCUGAGGGAGCACAACUGCAUUAUUAUCAUUACUAUCAUAGAAGCUGAUUUCUGGCUGCAAAGAAUUUGGCACAGGCCUAGGAAGCAUCAUAUUACCAUUGUGACCGGGGAGGAAUUUUUCACUCUUAGGUUGUGAUGGAAGCAUCAGAUGAGAAACCGGCAUCGGGAGCAUACCAUUUUCUUGAUAGGAACUAACAUCAGAUAAUCUUUCAAAGUUGAUAGGUUCAAACAGAAAAUUCUUUCGCUGGCGAUAGACUUCUCUUAGUUUACUGUCUGGACACGCAUACGGCAUAGCAAAAUCCAAGCCACUGUCAACAUCAGAAGCAUACUCCCCUUCUGCAUCAAGUGAAGCCUUGAAGGUAGGAAUUUCAUUAUGUUUGCAAAAUAAUACAGCCUCAAAUUCAGCUACUGACAUAGUCCACAACACUAUUCCUGAACCAGGACCCACAGAUUGUAAAAAAGAUAAUCGGUCCUAACUAUCUGGAGCAGGAACUCCGGUAAAUUGAGCUUUCCUGGAUCAGCAAGCUCGUUAUUAUUCGCACCGACGACGGUACUAAAUCUCUCCCUGUCCUUGUCACCACUCCACACUGCAGUAGUAGAAGCAUUAUGAAAAUCAGCAGCACCAUAACUUCUAAGGAUCUUUCCAGCUUUGGCAUCGACUUCAAAUACAGUGCUUCUUUUGGAUCCAAGUAUAACAGCUCCAUCUUUAGACACAAUAGGUGUAACAGCAACAUAAUCAGCAACAGAUUCCUUAAGCCUCGUUUUGCCAAA